UGGCCCAGCUGAAGCUGGUCGUUCUCAGAGAGAGCUGGGAUCUUCUGGCCUAUGUAGAAAGAAUCUGAAGGGCAGACCAGAUGCUUUGGAUACUCCACCAAAAGCUCUGAGACGUGGAUGGGUCGGUAGUAGAUCUUCACCAGCCCAUCAGAUUUGAUAAGCUUAAUAGUCUCUUCCGGUGGGUCAGGGCGGAUAUGCACAGAGGAGAUGUGGUUGCCCAUGGGGUGAAAACACCACGGGAUCAUUUGCAAAUUCAAAAAUUUGAUGCCCAUUUGCUUAAUGAUAACCCUGGAGAUGAAAAGAUGUGUGUAUAUAUAAUAUAUAAAGAAAGCUAAGUUGGGUUCAUAACUGGAUGAUGAUAAGAAGGGAAAGGUUUUUUU
Molecule: unclassified non-coding RNA, 380 nt
Filed under: Hevea brasiliensis (rubber tree)
Lineage: Eukaryota; Viridiplantae; Streptophyta; Magnoliopsida; Malpighiales; Euphorbiaceae
Source: RNAcentral